Molecule: long non-coding RNA, 548 nt
Filed under: Helianthus annuus (common sunflower)
Lineage: Eukaryota; Viridiplantae; Streptophyta; Magnoliopsida; Asterales; Asteraceae
Description: hypothetical non coding rna
Source: RNAcentral
UUCAUCAGACCUUCUCUCUCUCCUUCUCUCUCUCAGGCGACUCAAGAACAUCAACCACCUUCUCUUUCGGGCGACUCAGAAUCAGAGUCAGAAGCUUAAAUGGGCUCAAGGGAAAGCGGGUGAGAAUCGGGUACAUGUUUUGGAGGAGCACGGGUGAGUUUUCGUGGGGAUUUAUGAUGGGUUUAACGGUCCGGAUUCACCGGAUUAUCUGUUGUCGAAUUUGUAUCCUGCUGUCGGUCUUCUUCAUUUGAGUUCUCCCAUGGAGAAAUCUGAUGAACUUCUCCUGCGAGUUCUAAAGUCGUUGCCAUUAGGUUUCUACUCAGGUUUUCCCUAAGAUGGUUGAAGAUGGAUUUCCAAGCCCUAACGUUGUCACAACCGGAAUCAUGCCGAUUUGUACUUUUUAUUGGUAUUAAUCUUUAUGGGUAUUCUUUAAGGUGUUUUUGUUUUGAUUCCCAAGCCCUAAGUUAGUUAUUUUAUUGUGUUUUGAUUGUAUGAAUCAAACAAUGUUAAUGUUGUUAUGUUUAUAUCGAGCUUUAGAGAUGUUUCCG